AUCAACCAUUUUUUUGUGCAGACACAGCCCUGCAUCUCCAGGAGUGAAUUGGAUCACUCCGGGAAGUGUUCCAAGUGCACAGAGGGGGCCAGGCCGUAAGGAGGCAGGAAGUUACUCUCUGCCUGUCUACAAGCAAGAGAGGAGGGGACUCCUGAGAAAGAAGACAGAAGAUAGUCACCAUCAAAGAAAAGAAAUGAGGCCUCCAACUUUACAGUUCCCUGCUCUUCUUAGCAGCCAGAUGGCGAAGCUGAGUGAACAGUAUAUCCUGGCUGCACACAAUGAAAACAUCCCUGGCAG
Molecule: long non-coding RNA, 297 nt
Filed under: Equus asinus (donkey)
Lineage: Eukaryota; Metazoa; Chordata; Mammalia; Perissodactyla; Equidae
Description: lncRNA (ENSEASG00005032207.1)
Source: RNAcentral